CUGCAGGAGGCCUGGCAGCAACAUUGCCUGGCUGUAGAGCUACUGUGAAUGACCCAGAGGCUGUUUAUUGAUUGGCCCAACUGGGAACUUCAGCUCUAAAACUCUCCUGAAUCUUGGGCAAUUCUGGCUAUUGUUGAAAAAUCUGGUACUGCACUAGAAUCUGCCUAAGUGCUGACUAAUGAGACCAACAUGCAAGGAAGACUGCAUGUGAAGCAUGCAUGUGAAGAUUAAAAAAAGUACCCUCGACAUGCUGUGAUAGUCAGCAAACUGGUGAGGGGAAUGAGGAGGAAAGAGAAACAGAAGCAGAGAGAGAGAUAGUUGACCUAGUGGGAUUGUGUGGCAGAUUAAUGAAGAUUCCAUAUUGUAUGAAGUACCCGAGCCAAGCCUAUAAUUUGCCACAAAUAAUGUGACAACAUUUCACAGUAUUGUCAGCCUUAUUUGAUGCUCAGAAUUAUCCACUGACUAAUUCUGGCAAGCAACUCUCGGCAUAGGGAUUAGGCAUGAGCAUUCAAUAUUUGCAUGGUCUGCUGUUGUUCUUUCUUGACUAUUUUGUCUGCAUGCAGGGUGAGGUACCUCUUCCCCGCUGAUGACUGUGUCAUCAGAUAGCCAGUGUUCGGGGUUUGGGUGAAUUUUUACUCCAAGGAUUGGUUUGUUUCCAUUAGUAUAUCUGAUUGCAAAGCUUAAAAAUAAACAGUAGCAUGUUUUCUUGGGGUAGCCACAGCACUGUAUGCCUCCAACAUUUUGCAAGGUUCAGCUUUUAAUAUGCUCAAACCUGCAGUAUUUCCUAUCACAAUUAAUUCUUUUGCUAUUCUCUGCUCUAUGAAGUCUUCAGAUCACAGUCUGCAUUAAGGCAUGAAAGGAGGCCCAGAUAGAGAUCUCAGAGGCCUUUUAGUUUCCUAUGAACUACGGAGCUCACAUACCCUACGAAUCUGUAUAGCCAACAAAAUGGAGACAUAAGCUGAUGGGACUGCAAGUACUUCUUCAUAAGGUUCAGUACAGGGUCCUGAUCAUGUCAGUCCUUGUUCAACAUUGCAAAACAGCUCAUAUGCUGCCCUGUUCUCUGUAGGAAGACAGUGUCACUUGUGGGACUGCCUGUCCUUCCUCUGAGCCUGUGUACUUCUCCAAGGGCCUGUGAGGCUCCUUGUACAUAGUUAAAUACAUGUCAGUGCUUGACUAUGACAAAAGAAAAACUUGACUAUGGCAAGGAAUUCUAUUCUCAAAAAGCUACCAAAUCUUU
Molecule: long non-coding RNA, 1237 nt
Organism: Alligator mississippiensis (American alligator)
Lineage: Eukaryota; Metazoa; Chordata; Crocodylia; Alligatoridae
Exons: 3
Source: RefSeq, a predicted model, not a curated record